AGUGGCAGACGGGUGAGUAAUGUAUAGGAAUCUACCUAGUAGUACGGAAUAAUUGUUGGAAACGGCAACUAAUACCGUAUACGCCCUACGGGGGAAAAAUUUAUUGCUAUUAGAUGAGCCUAUAUUAGAUUAGUUAGUUGGUGAGGUAAAGGCUUACCAAGACAAUGAUCUAUAGCUGAUCUGAGAGGAUGAUCAGCCACACUGGAACUGAGAUACGGUCCAGACUCCUACGGGAGGCAGCAGUGGGGAAUAUUGGACAAUGGGCGAAAGCCUGAUCCAGCCAUGCCGCAUGAGUGAAGAAGGCCUUCGGGUUGUAAAGCUCUUUUAGUGAGGAAGAUAAUGACGGUACUCACAGAAGAAGUCCUGGCUAACUCCGUGCCAGCAGCCGCGGUAAUACGGAGAGGGCUAGCGUUAUUCGGAAUCAUUGGGCGUAAAGGGCGCGUAGGCGGGUUAGUAAGUUAAAAGUGAAAUCCCAAGGCUCAACCUUGGAACUGCUUUUAAAACUGCUAGUCUAGAGAUUGAAAGAGGAUAGAGGAAUUCCUAGUGUAGAGAUGAAAUUCGUAAAUAUUAGGAGGAACACCAGUGGCGAAGGCGUCUAUCUGGUUCAAAUCUGACGCUGAGGCGCGAAGGCGUGGGGAGCAAACAGGAUUAGAUACCCUGGUAGUCCACGCUGUAAACGAUGAAUGUUAAAUAUGGGAAGUUUACUUUCUGUAUUAUAGCUAACGCGUUAAACAUUCCGCCUGGGGACUACGGUCGCAAGAUUAAAACUCAAAGGAAUUGACGGGGNNCCGCACAAGCGGUGGAGCAUGUGGUUUAAUUCGAUGCANCGCGAAAAA
This 836-nucleotide ribosomal RNA is filed under the name uncultured Wolbachia sp. RNAcentral's name for it is "bacterial SSU rRNA". It matches the Rfam family "Bacterial small subunit ribosomal RNA", at positions 94 to 968 of the family's 1533-position model. The record is from RNAcentral. Lineage: Bacteria; Pseudomonadati; Pseudomonadota; Alphaproteobacteria; Rickettsiales; Anaplasmataceae.